UACGAAUGGGGCAAGCGUUGUUCGGAAUCACUGGGCUUAAAGCGUGCGUAGGCGGACAUGAAAGUCAGGAGUGAAAUCCCGGGGCUCAACCUCGGAAUUGCUUUUGAAACUCCAUGUCUGGAAUCCGGGAGAGGUUAGCAGAAUUCCGAGUGUAGAGGUGAAAUUCGCAGAUAUUCGGAGGAAUACCAGUGGCGAAGGCGGCUAACUGGACCGGCAUUGACGCUGAGGCACGAAAGCGUGGGGAGCAAACAGG
RNAcentral lists this ribosomal RNA (253 nucleotides) under uncultured bacterium. RNAcentral describes it as "partial 16S ribosomal RNA". It matches the Rfam family "Bacterial small subunit ribosomal RNA", at positions 524 to 776 of the family's 1533-position model. The record is from RNAcentral.